Non-coding RNA from Stegodyphus mimosarum, 73 nucleotides. NCBI's taxonomy places the organism in Eukaryota, Metazoa, Arthropoda, Arachnida, Araneae, Eresidae. The record is from Rfam.
GUCUUCGCGGUGUAGUGGUCAGCACGCUGGGCGUGCAUUCUAGAGGUCCGUGGUUCGAAUCCCGGCGAAGGCG